Molecule: ribosomal RNA, 450 nt
Filed under: uncultured bacterium
Lineage: Bacteria
Description: partial 16S ribosomal RNA
Rfam family: Bacterial small subunit ribosomal RNA
Source: RNAcentral
CCUACGGGGGGCAGCAGUAAGGAAUAUUGGUCAAUGGACGCAAGUCUGAACCAGCCAUGCCGCGUGGAGGAUGAAGGUCCUCUGGAUUGUAAACUUCUUUUAUUUGGGAAGAAACUCCCGAUUUCCAUCGGGAUUGACGGUACCAGAUGAAUAAGCCCCGGCUAACUCCGUGCCAGCAGCCGCGGUAAUACGGGGGGUGCAAGCGUUAUCCGGAUUCACUGGGUCGAAGGGGUGCGUGUAUGGGCGUGUUGAAAUCGCCGAGCUUAACCCGGAAGCUGCCAUUGAUACUAUUUGUCUUGAAUACUCUGGAGGUGAGCGGAAUAUGUCAUGUAGCGGUGAAAUGCUUAGAUAUGACAUAGAACACCCAUUGCGAAGGCAGCUCACUACGGAAAUAUUGACGCUGAGGCACGAAAGCGUGGGGAUCAAACAGGAUUAGAUACCCUGGUAGUC